GCCAGCGCAGUGGAUGUAAAUGCGGCAAGCGCAAGGGUGGCAUAAACAAUUUGCUCUGUUGAGGCUUGAUCGUUCAUGAGACUGGGCCAGCCUUCUGUUUUGGUGUUUUCUGUUUAACAAAAAAAGCUGAUAGCACACUUUUACUGCGAGCAUGAGCACGUACCAUCUCACGCCUUGGGUUGUCAAAUGACAAGAAUGCUGUCAAAGGCUUAGAACCCUCCA
This 222-nucleotide unclassified non-coding RNA is filed under the name Hevea brasiliensis (rubber tree). Lineage: Eukaryota; Viridiplantae; Streptophyta; Magnoliopsida; Malpighiales; Euphorbiaceae. The record is from RNAcentral.